UAUUUUUUCAAUUAAGAGUUUCAUUUGACCAGACUCAGAUCUCAGACUCCUGACCUCAAGUGAUUGGCCUGCCUCAACCUCCAAAAGUGCUGGGAUUACAGGUGUGAGCAACCAUGCCUGACUCAGAAAAUGUUAAUAGAUGAAUUGGCUGAAGUAGCUAAAUAGAAUAGGAAGAGGUAGAAGAGAUAGGGUUUUCUUCAUGGGAACCAGGGCACGUUGUUUGAUUUGUCUGGGCUUCUAUUCCUCUAGUUAUAAUGCAAGGACAAUAGAUGGUUUUAAUCUCCCUACAGCACUCACAUUUUAAGGUCUGACGGUGAAAGUUGUGGCAAGAACACUAUUAGAAUACCCUGUUCCUUUUCUAGCAUUCAAAUCCAGCUUCUGUGGAGCACCCUCCUUUCACCAAUGUUUCACAGGAACAAAGGGAAAAAUCUUGAAGGCUGCCUGGAUUUAAACUAGACAAACAACUUGAAAUAACUCCAAAAGGAAUAAAAAUAACCCAAAUCUGGACUGCCAUGUGAGAGCUGUGAUGAAGAAAGUCUAAAAUGAUGAGGAAUCUUCAACUGGAAAGAUGAAAGAUGGAGAAAAUAAGAAGCCUGGAAAAUCGAGACUGUGGUUAGAGGAAUAUGGGUCCAUUGACCUUGUCCUGGGAGGUGAGACUGAGAGGAAGUUGAAAGCAACUUGACAAGAUCUGGACACUGAGGAAGUGCGUCUCUUAUCCGCCUCUUUAGAAUCGAGGUCAACAGAAUAGAUGCUGUUAAGUUUCAUGGUAGGUACCAUUUAUGUAGCACUUACUAUGGGCUAGGUCUUUUUGUCAAUUGUUAACUGUAACAGGAGAUGGAUAUUUAUAGACCCCUUUUAUAGGUGAAGAAAUUGAGUCUGAGAGUUUCAAGUAUUAAUAAAAUGUGCCGACUAGUAAGGGGGCACCACUGAGAUUCACACACAGGGCUUUCUUGUACCAAAGGAGAUAUUUCCUUAUCCCCUAUGCUAUUCUGUCAGCUAAAAAUAAAAGUGUCUAUAGCAAUACAACGGGCUGUCCCAUCCAUUGGACACGAUUGUUUCUUCUAAUAAGGACUCAUUAUUACUCCUAGUUCUACUCCCCUUAAUGUAAUUAUGAUCAAUUUUCAUGUUGCAAAUGAUUUUCAGUAUCUCUUCAAAUUAUCUUUAUUACUUCUCUGAAAAUUCAGGCUUAAUUUAUUGACAAGUUGUCAAAAUUGUCCUUUAACUUCUCAGUGAUCAGCAAAAUCACACGGAA
RNAcentral lists this long non-coding RNA (1252 nucleotides) under Papio anubis (olive baboon). RNAcentral describes it as "lncRNA (ENSPANG00000042548.1)". The record is from RNAcentral. Lineage: Eukaryota; Metazoa; Chordata; Mammalia; Primates; Cercopithecidae.